UACAGAGGUCCCAAGCGUUGUUCGGAUUCACUGGGCGUAAAGGGUGCGUAGGUGGUGGGGUAAGUCGGAUGUGAAAUCUCCAAGCUCAACUUGGAAACUGCAUUGGAAACUACCUUGCUAGAGGAUUUGAGGGGGGAUUGGAAUACUUGGUGUAGCAGUGAAAUGCGUAGAUAUCAAGUGGAACACCAGUGGCGAAGGCGAAUCCCUGGAAAAUACCUGACACUGAGGCACGAAAGCUAGGGGAGCAAACAGG
This 253-nucleotide ribosomal RNA is filed under the name uncultured bacterium. RNAcentral's name for it is "partial 16S ribosomal RNA". It matches the Rfam family "Bacterial small subunit ribosomal RNA", at positions 524 to 776 of the family's 1533-position model. The record is from RNAcentral.